This is a long non-coding RNA of Aethalodelphis obliquidens (Pacific white-sided dolphin), 1049 nucleotides long. RefSeq lists it as uncharacterized. The record is from RefSeq and is a predicted model, not a curated record. NCBI's taxonomy places the organism in Eukaryota, Metazoa, Chordata, Mammalia, Artiodactyla, Delphinidae. The transcript has 2 exons.
CAUAUAUAUUAAAAAAAAUUCUUUUCCAUUAUAGUUUAUUACAAGAUAGUGAAUACUGUUCCCUGGGCUGUAUGAUCAUUUUUUAAAGAUAUGACAAAAAAGCCAAGUUUUUACCAAUUAUUUCAGACAACUCAAAACUGUUGAAAGGGAAACGUGGGCGUCACCCCCGAUGCCCUCUCCAAGAUUCUUUUCCCUUAUAGUUUAUUACUGAAUAUUGUGCAUAGUUCCUGAUGUCUUCUUAUUCAUGCCUCGCGUUGUUAUUUCGAUGGUUUGGUUUUCCACAGUCUCUCUGUCCAUGGUCAUUCUGAGGGUGCGGCUGGUGGUGGAAGAUGGUAUCCUUUCCAAACCCUUUGGUGGCCUCAGAGUUAACUUAGAGCUUCUGACUGGGCACAUGGCAGUGCGUUUAGACACAGUCCUCUUGCUGAGAUGUGUUCCAGGAGCAGCGCCCCUACAUCCGGACCUACAAUUCAAACUCCAGCUCCUGCUUCCAGUCUCCUCCAGUCCCCACUCCUCUGGGUGAGCAGAAACCCCCCUGAGGGCUCUCUCCCCUCCUGUGGACACCAGACUGUGACCUUCUUGGAAGACAGUGGUGCAGUGCCAAGUUCAAGUCCUGGGUUCAAAUCCUGGCUCUGCUAUUGACUAGCUGGGUCUCCAUGAUAAAAACAUGGCAGGGACUGUGAUGGUUCUAAUGAGGCAGUCGCUAGGAGACUGUUCUGCCAGUUCCUUCCCACCUUCCCCACCCCUCAAAUAAUAGCAACUAGCAAGAAACUACAGGAAUCUAACAGACCCUUAAUCCACUAACCCCUUCUGCAGACAAUGCAAAGGAACAGGCAGUGCAGCAUCGUGGGUAGGACCUCUGGCUCCAGAGAGGGGCUGCCUGCAUCCAGUUCCAGCCCCCCCACCCCCUACAAGCUGUUCUUCCUUAGCCUCAGUUUUCCCCUUGCCUUGUAGAUAGGGUUGUGUUAUUAAAUGAGGGACCAUACGUGAAGUGUUUGGCACGGUGCCUGGCACGUUGUAAGUGCUCAAUAAAUGUUAACCAUUGCUAUUUU